Long non-coding RNA from Quercus lobata, 712 nucleotides. RefSeq lists it as uncharacterized. The transcript has 5 exons. The record is from RefSeq and is a predicted model, not a curated record. NCBI's taxonomy places the organism in Eukaryota, Viridiplantae, Streptophyta, Magnoliopsida, Fagales, Fagaceae.
CGGGAAUUCAGCUGGUCUCAUUUAAAUGAUGAGUAUUAAUGUUGAGAAAUAUGGAGAAGACGUCCUUAGCCGUUUGCACUUUAUCCUAAAGCGUAGCAAGCUCAAAAAUGACGAUUGGGAUACAAAGUGUUUUUGUGAGAUUUGUCGAUCGAUUCUCUCCUUAAUUGAUCUGUUCUUAUAUGAUACCUGAAGCUUCUCAGAGUCAAGGCCUAUCAAGCGUUCUAACCAAUUUUAAAGAAAAAAUUCAGGGCUUGGAAUCACAUUUUCUAAAAAAUCAAUUUAGAUUUCGAAACUUGAGGUUGAUGAGCCAAGAUCCAGUGAUGUUAUAUAGCGUUCACAGGAGACUUUAUAGAGGAAUAUGCCUAUAGUCCUGAAGUUGAUGUAAGAAAAUUGGUUGGAGCAAUCAUUGAUAAAUUGGAAAAUCCACAGGAAUUUCGUGUAUGCUUCCAUCUAUUUCAAGACUUUUUCUUUGUUGAUGUAGAUGUCUAGCAUUUAUCCUACUUAUAAUUUGUUAGCUUGGCAGUAUCUACUUAAAUAUGUUCCUAGUAGCUACUAGCUAAAGGAACAGCUAGCAAAUCCUAAAGAUAUCAAGUGUGGAUCAAGUAUAGCAGGUUUCUUAUUUCAAUUGGCAAGUCAUUUAGGUCAAUUAGUGGUAAGUUUGUUUUUAUGGUUUAGAAACAUUUUUUGUGUAGUGUCUUGUGCGUCCUAAAUA